GAUGAACGCUGGCGGCGUGCCUAAUACAUGCAAGUCGAGCGAACGGACGAGAAGCUUGCUUUUCUGAUGUUAGCGGCGGACGGGUGAGUAACACGUGGAAACCUACCUAUAAGACUGGGAUAACUUCGGGAAACCGGAGCUAAUACCGGAUAAUAUUUUGAACCGCAUGGUUCAAAAGUGAAAGACGGUCUUGCUGUCACUUAUAGAUGGAUCCGCGCUGCAUUAGCUAGUUGGUAAGGUAACGGCUUACCAAGGCAACGAUGCAUAGCCGACCUGAGAGGGUGAUCGGCCACACUGGAACUGAGACACGGUCCAGACUCCUACGGGAGGCAGCAGUAGGGAAUCUUCCGCAAUGGGCGAAAGCCUGACGGAGCAACGCCGCGUGAGUGAUGAAGGUCUUCGGAUCGUAAAACUCUGUUAUUAGGGAAGAACAUAUGUGUAAGUAACUGUGCACAUCUUGACGGUACCUAAUCAGAAAGCCACGGCUAACUACGUG
Molecule: ribosomal RNA, 496 nt
Filed under: uncultured bacterium
Lineage: Bacteria
Description: partial 16S ribosomal RNA
Rfam family: Bacterial small subunit ribosomal RNA
Source: RNAcentral